GAUGAACGCUGGCGGCGUGCCUAAUACAUGCAAGUCGAGCGAACGGACGAGAAGCUUGCUUCUCUGAUGUUAGCGGCGGACGGGUGAGUAACACGUGGAUAACCUACCUAUAAGACUGGGAUAACUUCGGGAAACCGGAGCUAAUACCGGAUGAUAUUUUGAACCGCAUGGUUCAAAAGUGAAAGACGGUCUUGCUGUCACUUAUAGAUGGAUCCGCGCUGCAUUAGCUAGUUGGUAAGGUAACGGCUUACCAAGGCAACGAUGCAUAGCCGACCUGAGAGGGUGAUCGGCCACAUGAGAACUGAGACACGGUCCAGACUCCUACGGGAGGCAGCAGUAGGGAAUCUUCCGCAAUGGGCGAAAGCCUGACGGAGCAACGCCGCGUGAGUGAUGAAGGUCUUCGGAUCGUAAAACUCUGUUAUUAGGGAAGAACAUAUGUGUAAGUAACUGUGCACAUCUUGACGGUACCUAAUCAGAAAGCCACGGCUAACUACGUG
This 497-nucleotide ribosomal RNA is filed under the name uncultured bacterium. RNAcentral's name for it is "partial 16S ribosomal RNA". It matches the Rfam family "Bacterial small subunit ribosomal RNA", at positions 28 to 507 of the family's 1533-position model. The record is from RNAcentral.